RNAcentral lists this ribosomal RNA (439 nucleotides) under uncultured bacterium. RNAcentral's name for it is "partial 16S ribosomal RNA". It matches the Rfam family "Bacterial small subunit ribosomal RNA", at positions 338 to 795 of the family's 1533-position model. The record is from RNAcentral.
CCUACGGGUGGCUGCAGUGGGGAAUAUUGGACAAUGGGGGAAACCCUGAUCCAGCGACGCCGCGUGAGUGAAGAAGUAUUUCGGUACGUAAAGCUCUAUCAGCAGGAAAGAAAAUGACGGUACCUGACUAAGAAGCCCCGGCUAACUACGUGCCAGCAGCCGCGGUAAUACGUAGGGGGCAAGCGUUAUCCGGAUUCAUUGGGUUUAAAGGGUGCGCAGGCGGGCCGUUAAGCCGGCGGUGAAAUCGCGGGGCUCAACCCCGCCGCGCCGUCGGAACUGGGGGCCUUGAGUGCGGGGGAGGCAUGCGGAAUGCGCGGUGUAGCGGUGAAAUGCAUAGAUAUCGCGCAGAACCCCGAUUGCGAAGGCAGCGUGCCGUGCCGCCACUGACGCUGAGGCACGAAAGCGCGGGGAGCGAACAGGAUUAGAUACCCUAGUAGUC